UGGGCUGUGGCUCAGAGGUAGAGUGCUCGCCUAGCACAUGUGAGGCCCUGGGUUUGAUCCUCAGCACCACAU
RNAcentral lists this transfer RNA (72 nucleotides) under Ictidomys tridecemlineatus (thirteen-lined ground squirrel). RNAcentral describes it as "Spermophilus tridecemlineatus (thirteen-lined ground squirrel) tRNA". It matches the Rfam family "tRNA". From Rfam's summary of the family: Transfer RNA (tRNA) molecules are approximately 80 nucleotides in length. Lineage: Eukaryota; Metazoa; Chordata; Mammalia; Rodentia; Sciuridae. The record is from Rfam by way of RNAcentral.